This 666-nucleotide long non-coding RNA is filed under the name Elaeis guineensis (African oil palm). RNAcentral's name for it is "long non-coding RNA (EGUI_LNC038350)". The record is from RNAcentral. Lineage: Eukaryota; Viridiplantae; Streptophyta; Magnoliopsida; Arecales; Arecaceae.
ACCGAGCUUCUACAAUAAGCGGUCUCCCUUCAGCCUUCUACAAGAACCAGACUCCGUCCGAACUCCCAUAACGGAUGGAUAUCGGACGAGCUUCUACGACGGACGGACUCCGACAGUUGGAUUCCUACAACGAUCGAUCGCCUCCGAUGUCUGCCGAACCUCUCCAAUGCCAUCCGAAGUCCAUCGCCGGUCGACCCUCCACCAGAUCCUUCAUGAAUCCGGACUUCUCCAAUGGAUCAUCUUCAGACGAGCUUCCACAUCAGGCGAAUCCCAGACGGACUUCUCUAGCAAUCGGACUCCUACCGGGCUUCGCCAACAGAAAGUUUCCAUCCGAGCUUCUACAGCAGACGACUCCCACCUGUAGUAUCAGCAUCUAAGGUAUCCAACAAUAGUAGACUUGUCAGCAGUUUUGGAGACAUCCGAACUUCUCCCAGACCAACAACAGAGAGCCAUUCCGCUCCAUCAGAUGUCCUAGCCGAGCUCCAGCCGACGGAUCCGAACUUUUUGGCAAGUCACGACAAUGGCCACUAUCUUGCUCCACUCUCUGCAACGGAUUCCACGUAGCUCUACUACUCUCUAGCAAGUCGCGACAACGGACGCCGCUCCACUCUCCGGGCUCCAAUACUCUCUGGCAAGUUGCGACAACGGACACCACUCCACUCUCCG